Molecule: ribosomal RNA, 527 nt
Filed under: uncultured candidate division MSBL3 bacterium
Lineage: Bacteria
Description: bacterial SSU rRNA
Rfam family: Bacterial small subunit ribosomal RNA
Source: RNAcentral
AAACUCAAAGGAAUUGACGGGGGCCCGCACAAGCGGUGGAGCAUGUGGCUUAAUUCGAUGCAACGCGAAGAACCUUACCUGGGCUUGACAUGCCCGUCGUAUCUUAUCGAAAGAUAGGAGUCAGUUUUGCUGGACGGUGCACAGGUGCUGCAUGGCUGUCGUCAGCUCGUGUCGUGAGAUGUUGGGUUAAGCCCCGCAACGAGCGCAACCCCUAUGUUUAGUUGCCAGCACGUAAUGGUGGGGACUCUAGACAGACUGCCUGUGUAACAGGAGGAAGGUGGGGAUGACGUCAAGUCAGUAUGGUCCUUAUGCUCAGGGCUGCACACGUGCUACAAUGGCCGGUACAAUGGGAAGCAAUAUCGCAAGGUGGAGCAAAUCCCUAAAGCCGGUCUCAGUUCGGAUCGGGGUCUGCAAUUCGACCCCGUGAAGUUGGAAUCGCUAGUAAAGGCGUAUCAGCAAUGGCGUCUUGAAUACGUUCCCGGGCCUUGUACACACCGCCCGUCACAUCAUGAAAGUCCGUUGCACCC